This 406-nucleotide ribosomal RNA is filed under the name uncultured bacterium. RNAcentral's name for it is "partial 16S ribosomal RNA". It matches the Rfam family "Bacterial small subunit ribosomal RNA", at positions 30 to 526 of the family's 1533-position model. The record is from RNAcentral.
AUUGAACGCUGGCGGCAGGCCUAACACAUGCAAGUCGAACGAGUGGCGGACGGGUGAGUAAUGUAUGGGGAACUGCCCGAUGGAGGGGGAUAACUACUGGAAACGGUAGCUAAUACCGCAUACUAUCGGAUGUGCCCAUAUGGGAUUAGCUAGUAGGUGGGGUAAAGGCUCACCUAGGCGACGAUCCCUAGCUGGUCUGAGAGGAUGACCAGCCACACUGGAACUGAGACACGGUCCAGACUCCUACGGGAGGCAGCAGUGGGGAAUAUUGCACAAUGGGCGCAAGCCUGAUGCAGCCAUGCCGCGUGUAUGAAGAAGGCCUUCGGGUUGUAAAGUACUUUCAGCGAGGAGGCGUUACUCGCAGAAGAAGCACCGGCUAACUCCGUGCCAGCAGCCGCGGUAAUUC